CCUACGGGGGGUAGCAGUGGGGAAUAUUGGACAAUGGGCGAAAGCCUGAUCCAGCCAUGCCGCGUGUGUGAAGAAGGCCUUCGGGUUGUAAAGCACUUUCAGUGGGGAAGAAAGCCUUGGGGCUAAUACCCUCGAGGAAGGACAUCACCCACAGAAGAAGCACCGGCUAACUCCGUGCCAGCAGCCGCGGUAAUACGGAGGGUGCGAGCGUUAAUCGGAAUUACUGGGCGUAAAGCGCGCGUAGGCGGUCUGAUAAGCCGGUUGUGAAAGCCCCGGGCUCAACCUGGGAACGGCAUCCGGAACUGUCAGGCUAGAGUGCAGGAGAGGAAGGUAGAAUUCCCGGUGUAGCGGUGAAAUGCGUAGAGAUCGGGAGGAAUACCAGUGGCGAAGGCGGCCUUCUGGACUGACACUGACGCUGAGGUGCGAAAGCGUGGGUAGCAAACAGGAUUAGAUACCCUAGUAGU
RNAcentral lists this ribosomal RNA (464 nucleotides) under Vreelandella stevensii. RNAcentral's name for it is "partial 16S ribosomal RNA". It matches the Rfam family "Bacterial small subunit ribosomal RNA", at positions 338 to 794 of the family's 1533-position model. Lineage: Bacteria; Pseudomonadati; Pseudomonadota; Gammaproteobacteria; Oceanospirillales; Halomonadaceae. The record is from RNAcentral.